AUGGAGGACUGCAUAGCCUGGCAUCAUGAAAAGAAUGGGAAUUUUUCUGUGAGAAGCGCAUACAAACUGGCAGUCUCUCUAGAAGGUCAAGUUUCCCAGGGGCCUUCGACGUUAUCAAGUGAGGCACACGAUCGAAGCAUCUGGGAUCUCGUCUGGAAAGCAAAUGUCCCACCCAAGGUUAGAAUUUUUGGUUGGAGAGUAGCCACGAAUACUUUAGCAACAAACAAGAACAAGUUCAAACGAACUCUGGAACUGGACAGCACCUGCAACAUCUGCGGCUGCGAGGAGGAGGAUGAAUUUCAUGCGGUUAUUGAAUGCACCAAGAGCAGAGCCCUAAGAACCGCAAUGAGGAAGGAGUGGAACAUCCCACAUGAAAUAUGGUUUCGGCGCACGGGACCUGAUUGGCUACAGCUGCUACUUGCGUCCAUCCCUGAUGAAUCACGAGUGCGAGUACUCAUGCUCCUCUGGAGGUGUUGGCAUCUGCGCGAUAACUGUAUUCAUGGAGACGGAAAAGAGCCCAUAAUGCAGUCUGUCCUUUUUCUCCUGCGAUACGAGGAGGACAUGCAAAAGCUGCAAGACUUUCCAUUGGCUCCUGAGGUUCGUGGCACGGUAAAACUGAAUUCCGACGCAUCAUUCAUACCUGACAGCGAGAGGUCCUGGAUUGGCGCGGUUGCCAGAGACCACAAUGGCCAGAUUAUUCUGUCAGUGGGCAGGAAGGUAGCAAACUUAAACAAUGUGGAAGAGGCGGAGAUGCAUGCUGCGCUGAUUGGCCUCCAAACGUUGGUGAAAGUGUAUACCGGCCCAGUCGUGUUGGAGAUGGAUUGCAAAGCUAUGAUUGAAGAAAUCAUGGACACGGGGCAGUCGCGGUCCCCCUGCUAUGGCAUUAUUUGCGAUGUCAAGUCAGUAUUGGCGGGAUUCGGAUCACACCAGUGCCGUUUUGCCGGAAGAAAUUGCAACAAGCUGGCUCACGAGCUCGCGGCGACGGCCAGGCGAACAGGCGACUUCCUCAUGAUCGGCAACGUGCCUGCUAGUCUCAUUCCUCUGAUGCGGUCCGAGUGUAAUUCCCACCUUGAGUAA
Molecule: ribosomal RNA, 1077 nt
Filed under: Triticum aestivum (bread wheat)
Lineage: Eukaryota; Viridiplantae; Streptophyta; Magnoliopsida; Poales; Poaceae
Description: partial small subunit ribosomal RNA
Source: RNAcentral